This 253-nucleotide ribosomal RNA is filed under the name uncultured bacterium. Its description in RNAcentral is "partial 16S ribosomal RNA". It matches the Rfam family "Bacterial small subunit ribosomal RNA", at positions 524 to 776 of the family's 1533-position model. The record is from RNAcentral.
UACGGAGGGUGCAAGCGUUAUCCGGAUUCACUGGGCGUAAAGGGUGCGUAGGCCGCACGGUAAGUCAGAGGUGAAAUCCCGGAGCUCAACUCCGGAAUGGCCUCCGAUACUGCCGUGCUCGAGGACUGGAGAGGAGUCUGGAAUUCACAGUGGAGCAGUGAAAUGCGUAGAUAUUGUGAGGAACACUAGUGGCGAAGGCGAGACUCUGGACAGUUCCUGACGCUGAGGCACGAAGGCCAGGGGAGCAAACGGG